RNAcentral lists this ribosomal RNA (329 nucleotides) under uncultured cyanobacterium. RNAcentral's name for it is "partial 16S ribosomal RNA". The record is from RNAcentral. Lineage: Bacteria; Bacillati; Cyanobacteriota.
GGAGUAUGGGCCGUGUCUCAGUCCCAUUGUGGCUGAUCAUCCUCUCAAACCAGCUACUGAUCGUCGCCUUGGUGGUCCAUUACACCCCCAACUAGCUAAUCAGAUGCAGACUCAUCCCAGAGCAAUAAAUCUUUCACGAAUAGUAUCUCAACUACGCGCAUAUGGGGUAUUAGCAGGAGUUUCCCUCUGUUGUCCCCCACUCUAGGGCAGAUUCUCUACACAUUACUCACCCGUCCGCCACUUUCCAUCCACCGAAGUGAAUUUCUCGUUCGACUUGCAUGUAUGAAGCACGCCGCCAGCGUUCGUCCUGAGCCACUGAUCAAACUACU